GGACCUUUAGCUCAGUUGGUUAGAGCUACCGGCUCAUAACCGGUUGGUCCGGGGUUCGAGUCCCUGAAGGUCCACCA
RNAcentral lists this transfer RNA (77 nucleotides) under Ruminococcus sp. RNAcentral describes it as "tRNA-Ile". It matches the Rfam family "tRNA". From Rfam's summary of the family: Transfer RNA (tRNA) molecules are approximately 80 nucleotides in length. RNAcentral also lists the same sequence under 1 other name. Lineage: Bacteria; Bacillati; Bacillota; Clostridia; Eubacteriales; Oscillospiraceae. The record is from RNAcentral.